Molecule: ribosomal RNA, 253 nt
Filed under: uncultured bacterium
Lineage: Bacteria
Description: partial 16S ribosomal RNA
Rfam family: Bacterial small subunit ribosomal RNA
Source: RNAcentral
UACGUAGGGUGCAAGCGUUGUCCGGAAUUAUUGGGCGUAAAGAGCUCGUAGGCGGUCUGUCGCGUCUGCUGUGAAAACUCAGGGCUUAACCCUGAGCUUGCAGUGGGUACGGGCAGACUAGAGUGCGGUAGGGGAGACUGGAAUUCCUGGUGUAGCGGUGAAAUGCGCAGAUAUCAGGAGGAACACCGGUGGCGAAGGCGGUUCUCUGGGACGUACCUGACGCUGAGGAGCGAAAGCAUGGGGAGCGAACAGG